UACAGAGGGUGCAAGCGUUAAUCGGAGUUACUGGGCGUAAAGGGUGCGUAGGUUGUUGCAUAAGUUAGUUGUGAAAUCCCCGGGCUCAACCUGGGAACUGCAACUGAUACUGUGUGACUAGAGUACUGUAGAGGGUAGUGGAAUUUCCGGUGUAGCGGUGAAAUGCGUAGAGAUCGGAAGGAACACCAGUGGCGAAGGCGGCUACCUGGACAGAUACUGACACUGAGGCACGAGAGCGUGGGGAGCAAACAGG
This 253-nucleotide ribosomal RNA is filed under the name uncultured bacterium. RNAcentral's name for it is "partial 16S ribosomal RNA". It matches the Rfam family "Bacterial small subunit ribosomal RNA", at positions 524 to 776 of the family's 1533-position model. The record is from RNAcentral.